This is a long non-coding RNA of Oncorhynchus keta (chum salmon), 835 nucleotides long. RefSeq lists it as uncharacterized. The record is from RefSeq and is a predicted model, not a curated record. NCBI's taxonomy places the organism in Eukaryota, Metazoa, Chordata, Actinopteri, Salmoniformes, Salmonidae. The transcript has 3 exons.
UCGGUGAUCUUCAUGUCGGAGCGCUAUAAAGAAACCAGGGUUCCUGAGUUGGAAUUCCGAGUUGGAUAACAGUUCCAAAAGAUUUUCCCCAGUCAGAGCUGUGCCCCCCGGAAAAACUCCCAUGAAGCAAAGACAGCCGCAUGCCUGUCUGAAUACAAAAGGGGAGGGUCCAGAGUUUCGAUGCUGUCACUCUGAAAUUGUUCAUUUGUCGCGAGCUAGCUUAUAACAUCUGUAGCCAUAUUCAGCACCUAAACCAGAUAUACUUUGGGUACAUUUAUUAACAGGGUAUUUUUUUUUCGUAAACUGGCUGACCGACGUUACCUUUCCCAAAAAAAUGAACGCGAAUCGAGUAGAGUAAUUUAUGCAGCUGAAGACAAACGCUCCAGAGAAACUGCGAUGUAACACCGAAAAGCACGAAAGGCACUAACUCCGCCAUUCGUUGGACAAAGCCUAUGGGGGAAAUUAAUGGCGUUUUUGUAUGGUAUUUGGAUAAACUCCGAAAAUAAGGCAAGCCAGUUAAGAACACAUUCGUAUUUACAAUGGAAGGCCAAGCCCGGACGACACUGGGCCAAUUGUGGGACUCCCAAUCACGGCCGAUUGUGAAACAGCCUGGAUAAUAGACAAAUGGACCUGACCGGACAGCUCAGAACUUCUGCUCUUUUCUGUCCAUAAAAAAAACUAAUGGAUUGGUGGAAGAGCCAUGCAAGGAAGGAGGGAGUGGUGGAGCAAGGCUAUAUGCCCUGAGGUUUUCAUCAGAACUGGCGUAGAUUAGUCUCACCUUUUUAUUUUCCCGACAUAAAUUUGUUGUGUAAAAAUAAAUAUAUAUAUACAUAUA